GACACUUUGGCCGAGUGGUUAAGGCGAUUGACUCGAAUUCUCGUGACUCGGAAUCAAUUGGGAUCUCCCGCGCAGGUUCAAAUCCUGCAGGUGUCG
This 96-nucleotide transfer RNA is filed under the name Puccinia sorghi. It matches the Rfam family "tRNA". From Rfam's summary of the family: Transfer RNA (tRNA) molecules are approximately 80 nucleotides in length. Their secondary structure includes four short double-helical elements and three loops (D, anti-codon, and T loops). Further hydrogen bonds mediate the characteristic L-shaped molecular structure. tRNAs have two regions of fundamental functional importance: the anti-codon, which is responsible for specific mRNA codon recognition, and the 3' end, to which the tRNAs corresponding amino acid is attached (by aminoacyl-tRNA synthetases). tRNAs cope with the degeneracy of the genetic code in two manners: having more than one tRNA (with a specific anti-codon) for a particular amino acid; and 'wobble' base-pairing, i.e. permitting non-standard base-pairing at the 3rd anti-codon position. The record is from Rfam by way of RNAcentral. Lineage: Eukaryota; Fungi; Basidiomycota; Pucciniomycetes; Pucciniales; Pucciniaceae.